UCUAUUAUGAGUGUCAAUUUUGUUUAUUAUAUUAUAUCACAUUGAAUAGUACUUGUAUGUUCAUAAACAUUAGGCUUGUAUAUUGUACAAAAGGAUUAUUACUUGCCAAUCGGUUCAAUGUAUGUGAUUUAAAUCUAACCUAUUUGCCUAUAUACUCAGUUUGUUUUCAGUAAUAAAACUAAUUAUUUGUCCCUCUUAUCAUCUUAUGUAACAUUCUGCUUGUUGACUGAUGAUUUACUGAAUAUGAUCUUCACCUAAAAAAGUGUUGAUGAUGUCUCUGAUAGUCAUUCCUGUAAAAAGAGAUCAAAGGGUAAGUUUUUUAGACAAUUACAUAUUGGGGCAUAGAUGCAGUAAUAUUGAAACAGCCGUGAAUAUCGAAGGGAAUGCCAAAAUGUGGCAUAUUCAUUCAGUUACUCAUCCUGGUUUUUCAAACAGCUAAAGUUUCAAGGCAUUGAUAGUUACAGAUCAACCAUCAUUGACAGCAUUCAUGGGCAGUUAAAGUAUUCAAAUCAGAAAGGAAAGGGCAUGACACGUUACUGAGCUUAAAAAGAACAACUCAGAAGGCUUUUCACAUCAAUAACCAGCUAUAAAAGGGCCAUAUAUCACAUACAAAAGAGGGACAGCCGCAAGAAAAUCAGAGAGAUUACACAUACAGGGUGACACACCAUAGUUACAGAGCAUUCAGAAUACACAUACACAACAAAUACCCAAAAGAGAGUGAUAUACAUUCAUAUAUCCACACAUAUCAUACAAAUCAGAGGGCACAACACAGAAUUUGUAUCUGCUCUCUAUCACACGCAUAGAAAGAAGAGAAAAGCACACAACUAUCUGUCCUCAUACACUGACCUCACACACAUAACCGAGGACGAUUCCGGAAGCAUAUCUCACAUACACGAGAAAGGGAUAGGUUGCUGAUCAAGAACAUAGAGAUAAAGGUAAUCACGGCAAGGUUAUACAUAGGAAUGCUGUCAGGUAAGGAGGUGUUUUUUAUUUGGUGAUCAAUCUGUGUUUUGAACUUAGACGAUAAAUUUAUAAACAAUUUUGCUUAGCCAUACAGAAUUACAUACAUCCCAUUCCCAUUCAAUUGAUUUCGCAGAGACACAUAUACUGUCAUUUAACCAAUAACAAAAGUAACUAAUGCUAUAUAACUACUUUAAAGCAGUGAAAUUUGUUUCUGGAUGAACAUUCAUACCAAUUGGUUUUUUUUCUCAUCAUAUUGCUAAUUACUUCACACUAUGACAAAUAUGUAAAGUUAGAUUGGAAGAGGGAUAGGGUUCUUUACCAAAAUCCUUUGCCAAUAACCAACCGUGGAGUCAUGAUUACACUGUUUUCAUUGCGGAAUUAAUGCCAUCAUUCGCCGACCUUGUUGGUGUCCUCCCUAUGCUUUAAAGGAGACUUUGUUAGANNNNNNNNNNNNNNNNNNNNNNNNNNNNNNNNNNNNNNNNNNNNNNNNNNNNNNNNNNNNNNNNNNNNNNNNNNNNNNNNNNNNNNNNNNNNNNNNNNNNAAAACAUAAUGGUAUUUUCCCAAAUCACUAACAAUCAAUCAAAGUAGAAACAAUUUUUUGAACUACAACUACGUAAGCCUUGAUCCCCUUAAUAGGGGUACGUAGGACCAAAGUCAAUAUUGUCAGGCUCAAUAAUAAAAAAUAUUAUAUUUUACUAAUUUAAUUUCUAAAUAAAUAAUUUUUAAGGGUAUAAAAGUUCAUUUGAUUAGCGAGGGUACCGUUUUAAUACGGGUGGACGGGGUGCUAGUACCUUCCCUGAUCCGUAAUCGACUCCCGAGCUCAGAAUCUCUAUUCAUAGACCAUUUUAUCCAAAUUGGGCAUAAUAAGAGUUUUCUACGUUUUAACAGCAAAAACGUAGUGGCGACUCCAAAUCAAUCGGGAGAGGUAGAAAUUGAGUUCGCCUCCUCCCAAGUCGCAGAGCCGGUCUUCCAACCGAAAAUCGGGUCGCGACAAAAUGCAUAAAAUAUUCACUCAUAUUGUUAAUCAUUUAAUUGCUUUAGAUAAGAGUUUUGCUAUUGGUGAACUUACUAACAAAGUAUUACAUUGUCUUGAUAGAAAAUGGCAGCCAAAGGUAACAACAAUAAUGGAGUCGAAAGACUUAGACACCAUGCCUCUAGCAACUCUCUUUCGCAAACUCCAAGAGCACGAAAUGGAGUUGGGACACUUAACAAUGCAUGAAGAUUCAGACCGAAAGAGAAAGGGAAUCUCUCUAAAAGCUACAUCAUCACAACAACAAGAAGAGAAAGAUGAUGAUGAAGAUUCCAAGUUUGAAUUGGAUGAUGAAACCUUAACUCUUCUAGUUAGAAAAUUUGGCAAAUUUCUCAUGAAGAAAGGAGGGUUCAAGCAUUUUCAAAAGUAAGAGGCGAGUGAUUCAACCAAAAGAGGCAAAGUUCCCAAAGAUCGCCUCAUUUUCCAUGAGUGUGGCAAACCGGGCCAUAUGAAAUACUAAUGCCCAAGUCACCUCAAGAAGGUUGAACAUGAUAAGAGCAAUCCCCGGAACUUUAAAUCCAAGAAGGCCUACAUAGUAUGGGAUGUACCUCUAUUAUGAGUGUCAAUUUUGUUUAUUAUAUUAUAUCACAUUGAAUAGUACUUGUAUGUUCAUAAACAUUAGGCUUGUAUAUUGUACAAAAGGAUUAUUACUUGCCAAUCGGUUCAAUGUAUGUGAUUUAAAUCUAACCUAUUUGCCUAUAUACUCAGUUUGUUUUCAGUAAUAAAACUAAUUAUUUGUCCCUCUUAUCAUCUUAUGUAACAUUCUCCUUGUUGACUGAUGAUUUACUGAAUAUGAUCUUCACCUAAAAAAGUGUUGAUGAUGUCUCUGAUAGUCAUUCCUGUAAAAAGAGAUCAAAGGGUAAGUUUUUUAGACAAUUACAUAUUGGGGCAUAGAUGCAGUAAUAUUGAAACAGCCGUGAAUAUCGAAGGGAAUGCCAAAAUGUGGCAUAUUCAUUCAGUUACACAUCCUGGUUUUUCAAACAGCUAAGUUUCAAGGCAUUGAUAGUUACAGAUCAGCCAUCAUUGACAGCAUUCAUGGGCAAUUAAAGUAUUGAAAUCAGAAAGGAAAGGGCAUGACAUGUUACUGAGCUUAAAAAGAAAAACUCAGAAGGCUUUUCACAUCAACAACCAGCUAUAAAAGGGCCAUAUAUCACAUACAAAAUAGGGACAGCCGCAAGAAAAUCAGAGAGAUUACACAUACAGGGUGACACACCAUAGUUACAGAGCAUUCAGAAUACACAUACACAACAAAUACCCAAAAGAGAGUGAUAUACAUUCAUAUAUCCACACAUAUCAUACAAAUCAGAGGGCACAACACAGAAUUUGUAUCUGCUCUCUAUCACACGCAUAGAAAGAAGAGAAAAGCACACAACUAUCUGUCCUCAUACACUGACCUCACACACAUAACCGAGGACGAUUCCGGAAGCAUAUCUCACAUACACGAGAAAGGGAUAGGUUGCUGAUCAAGAACAUAGAGAUAAAGGUAAUCACGGCAAGGUUAUACAUAGGAAUGCUGUCAGGUAAGGAGGUGUUUUUUAUUUGGUGAUCAAUCUGUGUUUUGAACUUAGACGAUAAAUUUAUAAACAAUUUUGCUUAGCCAUACAGAAUUACAUACAUCCCAUUCCCAUUCAAUUGAUUUCGCAGAGACACAUAUACUGUCAUUUAACCAAUAACAAAAGUAACUAAUGCUAUAUAANNNNNNNNNNNNNNNNNNNNNNNNNNNNNNNNNNNNNNNNNNNNNNNNNNNNNNNNNNNNNNNNNNNNNNNNNNNNNNNNNNNNNNNNNNNNNNNNNNNNAAUGCCCAAGUCACCUCAAGAAGGUUGAACAUGAUAAGAGCAAUCCCCGGAACUUUAAAUCCAAGAAGGCCUACAUAGUAUGGGAUGUACCAGAGGACGAAACAACAACUAGCACAUUCGAUGAAGAGGAGACCGCUAAAUUAUGCUUAAUGGCAAAUACUCAAGAAAUUGGCAGCACAAGCGAUCUGAAUGACACGAGUGAGGUACACUAUUAUUAAUCUUCUUCGUGUUCUGAUGAGUCUCCUACUUAAGAUGAACUGUAAAGUGCAUUUGUUGAGUUACACGAGGAGAUAAAGAAACUAGCAAAGGUAAAUAUAUAUAGGAAACGAGUCACCAUAUUGCAUGAAAGUAAAAUAACUAAAAUGCAAGAGGAAUUGAAUGAAUUAAAACUAGAAAAUGAGACUCUAGAUCUUAUUUACUCUUCUGCAUCAUGUAGUUGCACCACUAAAUUAAUUGAGACUCCUAUAUGUAAUCAAUGCGAUGUUCUGAAUGCUGAAAUUUCUGAUUUAAAAGAUAAAUUAGCAAAGUUCACGAAGGGAAUGCCAAAAUGUGGCAUAUUCAUUCAGUUACUCAUCCUGGUUUUUCAAACAGCUAAAGUUUCAAGGCAUUGAUAGUUACAGAUCAACCAUCAUUGACAGCAUUCAUGGGCAGUUAAAGUAUUCAAAUCAGAAAGGAAAGGGCAUGACACGUUACUGAGCUUAAAAAGAACAACUCAGAAGGCUUUUCACAUCAAUAACCAGCUAUAAAAGGGCCAUAUAUCACAUACAAAAGAGGGACAGCCGCAAGAAAAUCAGAGAGAUUACACAUACAGGGUGACACACCAUAGUUACAGAGCAUUCAGAAUACACAUACACAACAAAUACCCAAAAGAGAGUGAUAUACAUUCAUAUAUCCACACAUAUCAUACAAAUCAGAGGGCACAACACAGAAUUUGUAUCUGCUCUCUAUCACACACAUAGAAAGAAGAGAAAAACACACAGCUAUCAUUCCUCAUACACUGACCUCACACACAUAACCGAGGAUGAUUCCGGAAGCAUAUCUCACAUACACGAGAAAGGGAUAGGUUGCUGAUCAAGAACAUAGAGAUAAAGGUAAUCACAGCAAGGUUAUACACAGGAACACUGUCAGGUAAGAAGGUGUUUUUUAUUUGGUGAUCAAUCUGUGUUUUGAACUUAGACGAUAAAUUUAUAAACAAUUUUGCUUAGCCAUACAGAAUUACAUACAUCCCAUUCCCAUUCAAUUGAUUUCGCAGAGACACAUAUACUGUCAUUUAACCAAUAACAAAAGUAACUAAUGCUAUAUAACUACUUUAAAGCAGUGAAAUUUGUUUCUGGAUGAACAUUCAUACCANNNNNNNNNNNNNNNNNNNNNNNNNNNNNNNNNNNNNNNNNNNNNNNNNNNNNNNNNNNNNNNNNNNNNNNNNNNNNNNNNNNNNNNNNNNNNNNNNNNNAAGGCCUACAUAGUAUGGGAUGUACCAGAGGACGAAACAACAACUAGCACAUUCGAUGAAGAGGAGACCGCUAAAUUAUGCUUAAUGGCAAAUACUCAAGAAAUUGGCAGCACAAGCGAUCUGAAUGACACGAGUGAGGUACACUAUUAUUAAUCUUCUUCGUGUUCUGAUGAGUCUCCUACUUAAGAUGAACUGUAAAGUGCAUUUGUUGAGUUACACGAGGAGAUAAAGAAACUAGCAAAGGUAAAUAUAUAUAGGAAACGAGUCACCAUAUUGCAUGAAAGUAAAAUAACUAAAAUGCAAGAGGAAUUGAAUGAAUUAAAACUAGAAAAUGAGACUCUAGAUCUUAUUUACUCUUCUGCAUCAUGUAGUUGCACCACUAAAUUAAUUGAGACUCCUAUAUGUAAUCAAUGCGAUGUUCUGAAUGCUGAAAUUUCUGAUUUAAAAGAUAAAUUAGCAAAGUUCACGUAUAGCAGUUAUAAUCUGAACAACCUACUUGCUGCAUCUAGAAAUGUAGGUAAUCAUGGAGGCCUAGACUAUAAACCAAAGAAUAAGAGAAAACCAUAUAGAAGGCAAGUGGCUCACAUGCAUAAUAGGUCUAAUCAUAACAUGCCUACUUGUUUUUUAACCAGCUAUAAAAGGGCCAUAUAUCACAUACAAAAGAGGGACAGCCGCAAGAAAAUCAGAGAGAUUACACAUACAGGGUGACACACAUGGCAAAUAUAUAUGGAUGCAAAAAGGGCAAGACUAUUUGAUUACUAACAAGAAAGGAUCCAAUAUAACUUGGGUACCAAAACAAGGCAAGUAAAUUGUUUUGUAGGUAUGCCUUCGGACUCUAAGAAGAGAAAAGCACACAACUAUCUGUCCUCAUACACUGACCUCACACACAUAACCGAGGACGAUUCCGGAAGCAUAUCUCACAUACACGAGAAAGGGAUAGGUUGCUGAUCAAGAACAUAGAGAUAAAGGUAAUCACGGCAAGGUUAUACAUAGGAAUGCUGUCAGGUAAGGAGGUGUUUUUUAUUUGGUGAUCAAUCUGUGUUUUGAACUUAGAUGAUAAAUUUAUAAACAAUUUUGCUUAGCCAUACAGAAUAACAUACAUCCCAUUCCCAUUCAAUUGAUUUCGCAGAGACACAUAUACUGUCAUUUAACCAAAAGUAACUAAUGCUAUAUAACUACUUUAAAGCAGUGAAAUUUGUUUCUGGAUGAACAUUCAUACCAAUUGGUUUUUUUUCUCAUCAUAUUGCUAAUUACUUCACACUAUGACAAAUAUGUAAAGUUAGAUUGGAAGAGGGAUAGGGUUCUUUACCAAAAUCCUUUGCCAAUAACCAACCGNN
RNAcentral lists this long non-coding RNA (6577 nucleotides) under Lupinus angustifolius (narrow-leaved blue lupine). Its description in RNAcentral is "long non-coding RNA (LANG_LNC003629)". Lineage: Eukaryota; Viridiplantae; Streptophyta; Magnoliopsida; Fabales; Fabaceae. The record is from RNAcentral.